This 406-nucleotide ribosomal RNA is filed under the name uncultured bacterium. RNAcentral's name for it is "partial 16S ribosomal RNA". It matches the Rfam family "Bacterial small subunit ribosomal RNA", at positions 30 to 526 of the family's 1533-position model. The record is from RNAcentral.
AUUGAACGCUGGCGGCAGGCCUAACACAUGCAAGUCGAGCGGAGCGGCGGACGGGUAAGUAAUGGCUAGGAAUCUGCAUGGUAGUGGGGGAUAACGUUCAGAAACGGGCGCUAAUACCGAAUACUAUCAGAUGAGCCUAGGUCGGAUUAGCUAGUGGGUGGGGUAAAGGCCUACAAAGGCGACGAUCCGUAACUGGUCUGAGAGGAUGAUCAGUCACACUGGAACUGAGACACGGUCCAGCCUCCUACGGGAGGCACCAUUGGGGAAUAUUGGACAAUGGCCGAAAGCCUGAUCCAGCCAGGCCGGUGGUUUGAAGAAGUUUUUCGGAUUGUAAAGCACUUUAAGUUGGGAGGCGUUACUAACAGAAUAAGCACCGGCUAACUUCGUGCCAGAGCCGCGGUAAUUC